ACACCAUGUGUGCGUUACGGUUCCGUAUCUGACGACAAGCAGCAGAUCGGAUGAAAAGGGAACACGGUGCGGACGACCCAAUCGGGGCCAAUUCCGUGGCUGCCCUCGCAACUGUAACCGGCGAGCCCGUCGCCAAACUGCCACUGGCCCAUUGGGCUGGGAAGGCGACGACGGGCGCUCGAGCCGGGAGCCAGUAGACCUGCCGGAACAACACGACCUUU
This 221-nucleotide non-coding RNA is filed under the name Pelagibacterium halotolerans. Lineage: Bacteria; Pseudomonadati; Pseudomonadota; Alphaproteobacteria; Hyphomicrobiales; Devosiaceae. RNAcentral also lists the same sequence under 1 other name. The record is from RNAcentral.